RNAcentral lists this ribosomal RNA (430 nucleotides) under uncultured bacterium. RNAcentral describes it as "partial 16S ribosomal RNA". It matches the Rfam family "Bacterial small subunit ribosomal RNA", at positions 354 to 796 of the family's 1533-position model. The record is from RNAcentral.
GUGGGGAAUAUUGCACAAUGGGCGCAAGCCUGAUGCAGCAACGCCGCGUGAGGGACGACGGCCUUCGGGUUGUAAACCUCUUUUAGCAGGGAAGAAGCGAAAGUGACGGUACCUGCAGAAAAAACACCGGCUAACUACGUGCCAGCAGCCGCGGUAAUACGUAGGGUGCAAGCGUUGUCCGGAAUUAUUGGGCGUAAAGAGCUCGUAGGCGGUUUGUCGCGUCUGCUGUGAAAACCCGAGGCUCAACCUCGGGCCUGCAGUGGGUACGGGCAGACUAGAGUGCGGUAGGGGAGAUUGGAAUUCCUGGUGUAGCGGUGGAAUGCGCAGAUAUCAGGAGGAACACCGAUGGCGAAGGCAGAUCUCUGGGCCGUAACUGACGCUGAGGAGCGAAAGCGUGGGGAGCGAACAGGAUUAGAUACCCUUGUAGUCC